CAUCAAUCUCUCCCAUUUUGUGCAUUCCUGUGCAUGCACUCAGGCUGCCACACAGCCCCAUCCUGCUCCAUGAUAUAUCUGAACUAUGGCACCUACUGAAGUCCCACCUACUCUUGCACACCCACGCUCACACACAGCAGGAAGCCAGAGGAGCAGAGUACAAGCACCUCAUGACUGCCUGCAGGUGUCCUUCCCCACCGUUCCUGGACAGCCAACAGCCUUUGUGACAUUUCAGACUCCUGCUCACUCCCCCGCCCACCCACCGAGAGACGUAUCUCUUCCUCUCCAGCUCUCCUCUUUCCACACCUCUGUGUCUGUGCUGUCACCAGGGGCAGGUGGCUGCAAGGAGGGGGCCUUUCUCCAUGGAUUCCCACCGGUUCCUUGUGGCCAUGCUGCUCCCUGUGGGCUGGGCCCUUCAGCAAUCACCCGAUACACUUGCCCAGGUGGGAAACACUGUCACUCUGGAAUGUUCUGGACUGGGGAAUGUAGUCAAGACCAUGUCCUGGUAUAAGUUACCCAUGGAGAAGAAUGCCAGUCUGCAGCUGGUUGUAUAUUCAUUGGAAGGUGGCAAAGCAGAUAUUGAGAAGGAAUUCAAAAAUCGCUUCCAGAGUAAUGGGACUAAGAACAACCAUUUAUCUGUGAAGAUACAGCAUGCCCUACUCAAUGACUCAGGCACAUAUUUCUGUGCUGAACAAGAUCCACAGUGAGUCAAAGGCUGGUGCAGCACAGCACAAACCUU
Non-coding RNA from Serinus canaria (Common canary), 739 nucleotides. NCBI's taxonomy places the organism in Eukaryota, Metazoa, Chordata, Aves, Passeriformes, Fringillidae. The record is from the annotation of a RefSeq genome assembly.